UGGAAUCUCAGGCUCGGCUGAAGUGGUA
RNAcentral lists this non-coding RNA (28 nucleotides) under Rattus norvegicus (Norway rat). Lineage: Eukaryota; Metazoa; Chordata; Mammalia; Rodentia; Muridae. The record is from RNAcentral.